UAGGGAAUCUUCCGCAAUGGGCGAAAGCCUGACGGAGCAACGCCGCGUGAGUGAUGAAGGUCUUCGGAUCGUAAAACUCUGUUAUUAGGGAAGAACAAAUGUGUAAGUAACUAUGCACGUCUUGACGGUACCUAAUCAGAAAGCCACGGCUAACUACGUGCCAGCAGCCGCGGUAAUACGUAGGUGGCAAGCGUUAUCCGGAAUUAUUGGGCGUAAAGCGCGCGUAGGCGGUUUUUUAAGUCUGAUGUGAAAGCCCACGGCUCAACCGUGGAGGGUCAUUGGAAACUGGAAAACUUAAGUGCAGAAGAGGAAAGUGGAAUUCCAUGGGUAGCGGUGAAAUGCGCAGGGAUAUGGAGGAACACCAGUGGCGAAGGCGACUUUCUGGUCUGUAACUGACGCUGAUGUGCGAAAGCGUGGGGAUCAAACAGG
RNAcentral lists this ribosomal RNA (429 nucleotides) under Actinomycetes bacterium. RNAcentral describes it as "Actinobacteria bacterium partial 16S ribosomal RNA". It matches the Rfam family "Bacterial small subunit ribosomal RNA", at positions 355 to 776 of the family's 1533-position model. The record is from RNAcentral. Lineage: Bacteria; Bacillati; Actinomycetota; Actinomycetes.